GUGCCAGCCGCCGCGGUAAUACCGGCAGCUCAAGUGAUGACCGAUUUUAUUGGGCCUAAAGCGUCCGUAGCUGGCCGCGCAAGUCUGUCGGGAAAUCCACCCGCUUAACGGGUGGGCGUCCGGCGGAAACUGUGCGGCUUGGGACAGGAAGGCUCGAGGGGUACGUUCGGGGUAGGAGUGAAAUCCUGUAAUCCUGGACGGACCGCCGAUGGCGAAAGCACGUCGCGAGGACGGAUCCGACAGUGAGGGACGAAAGCCAGGGUCUCGAACCGGAUUAGAAACCCCAGUAGUCC
This 293-nucleotide ribosomal RNA is filed under the name uncultured prokaryote. RNAcentral's name for it is "partial 16S ribosomal RNA". It matches the Rfam family "Archaeal small subunit ribosomal RNA", at positions 455 to 747 of the family's 1478-position model. The record is from RNAcentral.